Molecule: ribosomal RNA, 290 nt
Filed under: uncultured bacterium
Lineage: Bacteria
Description: partial 16S ribosomal RNA
Rfam family: Bacterial small subunit ribosomal RNA
Source: RNAcentral
GGGGGACGGGCAUGCGUCCCAUUAGAUAGCAGCGGGGUGACGGCCCACCUGGUCGACGAUGGUAGGGGAUCUGAGAGGACGGUCCCCCACACUGGCACUGAGACACGGGCCAGACUCCUGCGGGAGGCAGCAGUAAGGGAUAUUGGGCAAUGGGGCAACCCUGACCCAGCCAUGCCGCGUGAGGGAAUGAGGCCCUACGGGUCGUGAACCUCUUUUAUACGGGGACAAGGGCGGCGUCGCGAACGCCGUUUGAGGGUACCGUAGGAAUAAGCGUCGGCUAACUCCGUGCC